UUUUUCCUGAAAUGAGCGCAAGCCUUUUAUUUUGAACCUACAUUUGAAAUAAGGGAGUCUGCUGUUUGAUAUCAAAUGUCAGGCCUUGGUAACUCCGACACACGGCAUGAACGUUGUGCAACGGCGGAGGACGAUUGCUGAUAUCUCCGGGACACCCACCUAGCUAGGGCUAGGUGUCAAAAUACAAGGAGACGCCAUUUUGGGAUUAAA
This 210-nucleotide non-coding RNA is filed under the name Ruminiclostridium herbifermentans. Its description in RNAcentral is "6S RNA". It matches the Rfam family "6S / SsrS RNA". Rfam says of the family: E. coli 6S RNA was the first non coding RNA to be sequenced, but its function was unknown until recently. It consists of 184 nucleotides that fold into an extended hairpin structure with a large single-stranded internal bulge. The 6S RNA specifically associates with RNA polymerase holoenzyme containing the sigma70 specificity factor. The record is from RNAcentral. Lineage: Bacteria; Bacillati; Bacillota; Clostridia; Eubacteriales; Oscillospiraceae.